RNAcentral lists this ribosomal RNA (491 nucleotides) under uncultured bacterium. RNAcentral describes it as "partial 16S ribosomal RNA". It matches the Rfam family "Bacterial small subunit ribosomal RNA", at positions 29 to 507 of the family's 1533-position model. The record is from RNAcentral.
AGUGAACGCUGGCGGUAGGCCUAACACAUGCAAGUCGAACGGCAGCACAGUAAGAGCUUGCUCUUACGGGUGGCGAGUGGCGGACGGGUGAGGAAUACAUCGGAAUCUACUUUUUCGUGGGGGAUAACGUAGGGAAACUUACGCUAAUACCGCAUACGACCUACGGGUGAAAGCAGGGGAUCUUCGGACCUUGCGCGAUUGAAUGAGCCGAUGUCGGAUUAGCUAGUUGGCGGGGUAAAGGCCCACCAAGGCGACGAUCCGUAGCUGGUCUGAGAGGAUGAUCAGCCACACUGGAACUGAAACACGGUCAGACUCCUACGGGAGGCAGCAGUGGGGAAUAUUGGACAAAGGGCGCAAGCCUGAUCCAGCCAUACCGCGUGGGUGAAGAAGGCCUUCGGGUUGUAAAGCCCUUUUGUUGGGAAAGAAAAGCAGCAGGUUAAUACCCCGCUGUUCUGACGGUACCCAAAGAAUAAGCACCGGCUAACUUCGUG